GCCCACAUAGAUCAGUGGUAGAUCUCGUUCCUCAGUUUACACAUUGCAAGGUGAUCUGUGAAGGUGGCGGGGGUUCGAUUCCUCCUGUGGGCA
Mycena leptocephala is the source of this 93-nucleotide non-coding RNA. The record is from the annotation of a GenBank genome assembly. NCBI's taxonomy places the organism in Eukaryota, Fungi, Basidiomycota, Agaricomycetes, Agaricales, Mycenaceae.